UACGGAGGGUGCAAGCGUUGUCCGGAAUCACUGGGCGUAAAGGGCGCGUAGGUGGCCACUUCAAGCGUGCGGUGAAAGUCGGGGGCUCAACCCCUGAUCGGCCGUGCGAACUGGGGGGCUGGAGCACUGUAGAGGCAGGCGGAAUUCCGGGUGUAGCGGUGGAAUGCGUAGAGAUCCGGAAGAACACCGGUGGCGAAGGCGGCCUGCUGGGCAGUUUUGCUGACACUGAGGCGCGACAGCGUGGGGAGCAAACAGG
This 256-nucleotide ribosomal RNA is filed under the name uncultured bacterium. RNAcentral's name for it is "partial 16S ribosomal RNA". It matches the Rfam family "Bacterial small subunit ribosomal RNA", at positions 524 to 776 of the family's 1533-position model. The record is from RNAcentral.